GCCCCCGUAGCUCAGGUGGAUAGAGCACCAGAUUCCUAAUCUGGGAGUCGUGCGUUCGAGUCGCGCCGGGGGCACCA
RNAcentral lists this transfer RNA (77 nucleotides) under Desulfobacteraceae bacterium 4572_87. RNAcentral's name for it is "tRNA-Arg". It matches the Rfam family "tRNA". From Rfam's summary of the family: Transfer RNA (tRNA) molecules are approximately 80 nucleotides in length. The record is from RNAcentral. Lineage: Bacteria; Pseudomonadati; Thermodesulfobacteriota; Desulfobacteria; Desulfobacterales; Desulfobacteraceae. RNAcentral also lists the same sequence under 1 other name.